Molecule: ribosomal RNA, 1002 nt
Filed under: uncultured organism
Description: bacterial SSU rRNA
Rfam family: Bacterial small subunit ribosomal RNA
Source: RNAcentral
CGGGAAUAUUGCGCAAUGGAGGAAACUCUGACGCAGUGACGCCGCGUAUAGGACGAAGGUCUUCGGAUUGUAAACUAUUGUCGUUAGGGAAGAGAAAGGACAGUACCUAAGGAGGAAGCUCCGGCUAACUACGUGCCAGCAGCCGCGGUAAUACGUAGGGAGCAAGCGUUAUCCGGAUUUAUUGGGUGUAAAGGGUGCGUAGACGGGAAUUUAAGUUAGUUGUGAAAGCCCUCGGCUUAACUGAGGAACUGCAACUAAAACUGGAUUUCUUGAGUGUUGGAGAGGAAAGCGGAAUUCCUAGUGUAGCGGUGAAAUGCGUAGAUAUUAGGAGGAACACCAGUGGCGAAGGCGGCUUUCUGGACAAUAACUGACGUUGAGGCACGAAAGUGUGGGGAGCAAACAGGAUUAGAUACCCUGGUAGUCCACACCGUAAACGAUGAAUACUAGGUGUAGGUUAUAUCAUGUAAUCUGUGCCGUCGCAAACGCAAUAAGUAUUCCACCUGGGGAGUACGGCCGCAAGGUUGAAACUCGAAGGAAUUGACGGGGGCCCGCACAAGCAGUGGAGUAUGUGGUUUAAUUCGAAGCAACGCGAAGAACCUUACCAGGGCUUGACAUAUACAGGAAUAAUUAAGAGAUUAAUUAGUUCUUCGGAACUUGUAUACAGGUGGUGCAUGGUUGUCGUCAGCUCGUGUCGUGAGAUGUUGGGUUAAGUCCCGCAACGAGCGCAACCCCUGCUUUUAGUUGCCAGCACGUAAUGGUGGGAACUCUAGAAGGACUGCCGGUGAUAAAUCGGAGGAAGGUGGGGACGACGUCAAAUCAUCAUGCCCUUUAUGUCCUGGGCUACACACGUACUACAAUGGCUGUAACAGAGGGAAGCGAACUAGUGAUAGUAAGCAAAACCCAAAAAGCAGUCUCAGUUCGGAUUGAAGGCUGAAAUUCGCCUUCAUGAAGCCGGAAUUGCUAGUAAUGGCAGGUCAGCAUACUGCCGUGAAUACGUUCCCG